Ochotona princeps (American pika) is the source of this 642-nucleotide long non-coding RNA. RefSeq lists it as uncharacterized. The transcript has 3 exons. The record is from RefSeq and is a predicted model, not a curated record. NCBI's taxonomy places the organism in Eukaryota, Metazoa, Chordata, Mammalia, Lagomorpha, Ochotonidae.
UCACAUGGGCAGUUGGUUUGGAAUGUCCUGGCUUCUGACUGUUGGGAGUUGAGCAGCGUACUGGUCCCUCAGAGUGGGCCCUUCGCACAGAGAAUCCUCGCUGCAGGGCGCCCUCUCGAGUGCACACAUUUCCCAGCGCCUUCCUGCAGGAAUCUGAACAACAGCAACGACAAGAUGACUCAGUUGUCCCUCACGGCUUUGUGGCCAUUGGCCCCAGAACUGCAGCACACCACCACGGUCAGCAAGAUCCACAGGUGCGGCGCAUGCCUACAGACAUCAUUGAUGAAAUAGCUGACCCUUGUGGGGAUUGCUCCUUGGAGAGGGACACGCAGGCCAGCCCUGCGGAGCCCAGCAGCAUCAGAUGGACUCUGGCAAGACCAGGGCUAAGCCUCCAGCAUCACCUGCUACAACCUGCACCACUGAAGUCGGUGUGGGAACAGUGUUAAGGUGACUGAAGAAUGAUGACUGUGGCCUGUUCAGCACACAUCUUAAGAGAUGCAUUCUACGGGGAUAUUUAAUUCAUAUCUUUUUUAUUGAUAUAGAACUCACAAUCCUUUCCAUCCUGUAUUUAACAUAUACAGUUCGCUGGGCUUAGUUCAUUUAGGUUUUCCAGUCAUGCAAUUUCGGUACAUUCCUCACCAU